CAACCUCUGGCGAAACCCGUGAAUGUUG
Flavobacterium branchiophilum FL-15 is the source of this 28-nucleotide regulatory RNA element. It matches the Rfam family "L19-Flavobacteria ribosomal protein leader". The record is from Rfam. Lineage: Bacteria; Pseudomonadati; Bacteroidota; Flavobacteriia; Flavobacteriales; Flavobacteriaceae.